ACGGAAGGCAGCAGUGGGGAAUAUUGCACAAUGGGGGAAACCCUGAUGCAGCGACGCCGCGUGAGUGAAGAAGUAUUUCGGUAUGUAAAGCUCUAUCAGCAGGAAAGAAAAUGACGGUACCUGACUAAGAAGCCCCGGCUAACUACGUGCCAGCAGCCGCGGUAAUACGUAGGUGGCAAGCGUUAUCCGGAUUUACUGGGUGUAAAGGGUGUGUAGGCGGGAUUGCAAGUCAGAUGUGAAAAUUAUGAGCUUAACUCAUAACCUGCAUUUGAAACUGUAGUUCUUGAGAGUCGGAGAGGUAAACGGAAUUCCUGGUGUAGCGGUGAAAUGCGUAGAUAUCAGGAGGAACACCGGUGGCGAAGGCGGUUUACUGGACGACAACUGACGCUGAGACACGAAAGCGUGGGGAGCAAACAGGAUUAGAUACCCUGGUA
RNAcentral lists this ribosomal RNA (434 nucleotides) under uncultured Lachnospiraceae bacterium. RNAcentral's name for it is "bacterial SSU rRNA". It matches the Rfam family "Bacterial small subunit ribosomal RNA", at positions 341 to 792 of the family's 1533-position model. The record is from RNAcentral. Lineage: Bacteria; Bacillati; Bacillota; Clostridia; Lachnospirales; Lachnospiraceae.